This 85-nucleotide transfer RNA is filed under the name Planctomycetia bacterium. RNAcentral's name for it is "tRNA-Tyr". It matches the Rfam family "tRNA". Rfam says of the family: Transfer RNA (tRNA) molecules are approximately 80 nucleotides in length. Their secondary structure includes four short double-helical elements and three loops (D, anti-codon, and T loops). Lineage: Bacteria; Pseudomonadati; Planctomycetota; Planctomycetia. The record is from RNAcentral.
GGGAAUCUGGCCGAGCGGACGAAGGCGGCAGACUGUAAAUCUGUUUCUCCAGCGAGACGCGGAGGUUCGAAUCCUUCGAUUCCCA